Molecule: ribosomal RNA, 424 nt
Filed under: uncultured bacterium
Lineage: Bacteria
Description: partial 16S ribosomal RNA
Rfam family: Bacterial small subunit ribosomal RNA
Source: RNAcentral
AAUAUUGGACAAUGGGCGAAAGCCUGCUCCAGCCAUGCCGCGUGUGUGAAGAAGGUCUUCGGAUUGUAAAGCACUUUAAGUUGGGAGGAAGGGCUUUAGGUUAAUACCCUGAAGUUUUGACGUUACCAACAGAAUAAGCACCGGCUAACUCUGUGCCAGCAGCCGCGGUAAUUCAGAGGGUGCAAGCGUUAAUCGGAAUUACUGGGCGUAAAGCGCGCGUAGGUGGUUUGUUAAGUUGGAAGUGAAAGCCCCGGGCUCAACCUGGGAACGGCUUUCAAAACUGGCAAGCUAGAGUAUGGCAGAGGGUGGUGGAAUUUCCUGUGUAGCGGUGAAAUGCGUAGAUAUAGGAAGGAACACCAGUGGCGAAGGCGGCUUUCUGGACUGUAACUGACACUGAGGCAUGAAAGCGUGGGUAGCAAACAGG